CCUACGGGGGGCUGCAGUGGGGAAUAUUGCACAAUGGGCGCAAGCCUGAUGCAGCCAUGCCGCGUGUGUGAAGAAGGCCUUCGGGUUGUAAAGCACUUUCAGCGGGGAGGAAGGCGGUGAGGUUAAUAACCUCAUCGAUUGACGUUACCCGCAGAAGAAGCACCGGCUAACUGCCGUGCCAGCAGCCGCGGUAAUACGGAGGGUGCAAGCGUUAAUCGGAAUUACUGGGCGUAAAGCGCACGCAGGCGGUCUGUCAAGUCGGAUGUGAAAUCCCCGGGCUCAACCUGGGAACUGCAUUCGAAACUGGCAGGCUAGAGUCUUGUAGAGGGGGGUAGAAUUCCAGGUGUAGCGGUGAAAUGCGUAGAGAUCUGGAGGAAUACCGGUGGCGAAGGCGGCCCCCUGGACAAAGACUGACGCUCAGGUGCGAAAGCGUGGGGAGCAAACAGGAUUAGAUACCCCAGUAGUC
Molecule: ribosomal RNA, 466 nt
Filed under: uncultured Klebsiella sp.
Lineage: Bacteria; Pseudomonadati; Pseudomonadota; Gammaproteobacteria; Enterobacterales; Enterobacteriaceae
Description: bacterial SSU rRNA
Rfam family: Bacterial small subunit ribosomal RNA
Source: RNAcentral